This 329-nucleotide unclassified non-coding RNA is filed under the name soil metagenome. Its description in RNAcentral is "partial contains 5.8S ribosomal RNA, internal transcribed spacer 2, and large subunit ribosomal RNA". The stretch from base 1 to 120 matches the Rfam family "5.8S ribosomal RNA", at positions 35 to 154 of the family's 154-position model. The record is from RNAcentral.
GAUGAAGAACGUAGCGAAAUGCGAUAAGUAGUGUGAAUUGCAGAAUUCAGUGAAUCAUCGAAUCUUUGAACGCACAUUGCGCCCCUUGGUAUCCCGAGGGGCAUGCCUGUUCGAGCGUCAUUUCACCACUCAAGCCUGGCUUGGUGUUGGGCGACGUCCCCUUUGGGGACGCGCCUCGAAACGCUAGGCGGCGUGGCACCGGCUUUAAGCGUAGCAGAAUCUUUCGCUUUGGAAGUCGGGGCCCCGUCUGCCGGAAGACCUACUCGCAAGGUUGACCUCGGAUCAGGCAGGGAUACCCGCUGAACUUAAGCAUAUCAAUAAGCGGAGGA